Molecule: long non-coding RNA, 400 nt
Filed under: Zalophus californianus (California sea lion)
Lineage: Eukaryota; Metazoa; Chordata; Mammalia; Carnivora; Otariidae
Description: lncRNA (ENSZCAG00015012817.1)
Source: RNAcentral
AGACGGGCAAGCAGGGGACUGCUAUCUUGUUUGUUCCAAGGGCCUGAGGAGCAGAACAGAUUGUCUAGAGGUUUUGUGCUCUUUCCCUGGGACGAAGUGUCCAAGGCUUCCAGGUUGUCCAAGCUCCAGGCUCAAAUAAAGUGUGCUGAGGAAGCGGUGGCCACUUGAGGAUCAGGCCGGAAGAGCCUGGCUCCUGUACUAUCAGAAGACAAGAUUCAGAGACUAGAUGGGAUGGCCAUCACCCUCUUCAUCUCCUGAGAUCUGCUUGCAGACUCCACAGGGAGUUAACGGUUGCUAUGGUGACACAGGCACACCAGGACCAAAGCUGCAGGACAUGCCCAGUGCACUCAAGGUUGUCAACUGCUGCACCGACCUAUUAACUAAGGCCCUCCACACAUAG